UAGGAUUUGCUCAUGGGGGAACCCUGAACAGCAACGCCGCGUGGAGGAUGACACUUUUCGGAGCGUAAACUCCUUUUCUUGGGAAAGAAUUAUGACGGUACCCAAGGAAUAAGCACCGGCUAACUCCGUGCCAGCAGCCGCGGUAAUACGGAGGGUGCAAGCGUUACUCGGAAUCACUGGGCGUAAAGGACGCGUAGGCGGAUUAUCAAGUCUCUUGUGAAAUCCUAUGGCUUACCAUAGAACUGCUUGGGAAACUGAUAAUCUAGAGUGAGGGAGAGGCAGAUGGAAUUGGUGGUGUAGGGGUAAAAUCCGUAGAGAUCACCAGGAAUACCCAUUGCAAGGCGAUCUGCUUGGAACUCAACUGACGCUUAGGC
This 374-nucleotide ribosomal RNA is filed under the name Campylobacter sp. cp05.26. RNAcentral's name for it is "bacterial SSU rRNA". It matches the Rfam family "Bacterial small subunit ribosomal RNA", at positions 357 to 752 of the family's 1533-position model. The record is from RNAcentral. Lineage: Bacteria; Pseudomonadati; Campylobacterota; Epsilonproteobacteria; Campylobacterales; Campylobacteraceae.